This is a non-coding RNA of Biomphalaria pfeifferi, 885 nucleotides long. NCBI's taxonomy places the organism in Eukaryota, Metazoa, Mollusca, Gastropoda, Planorbidae. The record is from the annotation of a GenBank genome assembly.
CUUUAGAAAGACUUUCAAUAGCUUGCAUAUUUCAGAUGCAAUGUUUGCUAAAUGUUUAACUAGCAAUUGAUUUCAUAGUCAAUUAGUAAUAAUUUAUUCUCAGGUUGAUUUUGCUAGUGUAGAGCCUGCAGGUUUGAUUUCACCAGUGUGUUUGCUGAGGCUCUGUUUUUCACCUGUCUCAUUGACCAUGGCUCAAACCAAGAGUUUGUACCCCAGACAUAAUGUUGUGAUUCUAGUGUACAUACGUAUAUGUUAUCAAAUGUAGCAGUAUGUCUAUUUAAUAUGAAAUUAUUACAUUAUCAUUAGAUGACUUCUUUCUUUUUCAAGUCAGGAUAGACCGAGCUCAGAAUAGAUGGUGAAAGAAUUAUGGGAAUUGGAAUAAAAAAUGACUAAAAAAAAAUGGAAGCAUACAACUUGUAGACAUUUCACAAUAGCACCGAUUGCUUGUAACACUUAUACUACUGAAAGAUUAUAGUUUCUAAGUUAACUGUACAAAACAAGUAGCUAGUACAUUUUAUGCUGCUGCCUGUUUUAAAUAGUCAAAAGUACAUUGUAUACAUAUUGAAACAAUUCAAUCCUAAGAUAAAGAAUAUAUGCAAUUUUUAUAGCUGAAUUAUUUAGAUUGACUAAAUAUAAUUAUGUUAUUUUUUUUUUUUAAACAAAUAUUCUGAAAAUUACUUAUUAGCUACCAAUUCAUUGUUUAUUCCUUUAUAUUUCCCUGCAACAUAAGGCAUUAAAAACAUGUGCAUUCAAAUUGUGAUUAUGCAAACAUUCAAAUUAAAAUGACCUUCAACUUAAACAUAGUUUUGGUACUUUUGUUUUAUCAUUUGUCUUUCUUGGAAAAAAAAAUUUCUUCAACUUGAAUUGGACUUAAAAACUCAGUCA